AACACGUGGGAACGUACCCUUUGGUUCGGAACAACUCAGGGAAACUUGAGCUAAUACCGGAUGUGCGAAAGGAAAGAUUCGCCAAAGGAUCAGCCCGCGUUCGAUUAGCUAGUUGGCGGGGUAAUGGCCCACCAAGGCGACGAUCGAUAGCUGGUCUGAGAGGACGAUCAGCCACACUGGGACUGAGACACGGCCCAGACUCCUACGGGAGGCAGCAGUUGGGAAUCUUGGACAAUGGGCGAAAGCCUGAUCCAGCCAUGCCGCGUGAGUGAUGAAGGCCUUAGGGUUGUAAAACUCUUUCGGCGGGGACGAUUGACGGUACCCGCAGAAGAAGCUCCGGCUAACUUCGUGCCAGCAGCCGCGGUAAUACGAAGGGGGCUAGCGUUGUUCGGAAUUACUGGGCGUAAAGCGCGCGCAGGUGGCUCUCCAAGUCAGUGGUGAAAGCCCGGAGCUCAACUCCGGAAUUGCCAUUGAAAC
Molecule: ribosomal RNA, 477 nt
Filed under: uncultured soil bacterium
Lineage: Bacteria
Description: bacterial SSU rRNA
Rfam family: Bacterial small subunit ribosomal RNA
Source: RNAcentral